GCGCCUGUAGCUCAGCGGAUAGAGUGGGUGGCUUCGAACCACUAGGUCGCAGGUUCAAAUCCUGCCAGGCGCGCCA
Molecule: transfer RNA, 76 nt
Filed under: Candidatus Omnitrophota bacterium
Lineage: Bacteria; Pseudomonadati; Candidatus Omnitrophota
Description: Candidatus Omnitrophica bacterium (groundwater metagenome) tRNA-Arg
Rfam family: tRNA
About the family: Transfer RNA (tRNA) molecules are approximately 80 nucleotides in length. Their secondary structure includes four short double-helical elements and three loops (D, anti-codon, and T loops). Further hydrogen bonds mediate the characteristic L-shaped molecular structure. tRNAs have two regions of fundamental functional importance: the anti-codon, which is responsible for specific mRNA codon recognition, and the 3' end, to which the tRNAs corresponding amino acid is attached (by aminoacyl-tRNA synthetases). tRNAs cope with the degeneracy of the genetic code in two manners: having more than one tRNA (with a specific anti-codon) for a particular amino acid; and 'wobble' base-pairing, i.e. permitting non-standard base-pairing at the 3rd anti-codon position.
Source: RNAcentral